This 72-nucleotide transfer RNA is filed under the name Fukomys damarensis (Damara mole-rat). It matches the Rfam family "tRNA". Rfam says of the family: Transfer RNA (tRNA) molecules are approximately 80 nucleotides in length. Their secondary structure includes four short double-helical elements and three loops (D, anti-codon, and T loops). The record is from Rfam by way of RNAcentral. Lineage: Eukaryota; Metazoa; Chordata; Mammalia; Rodentia; Bathyergidae.
UGGGGUGUAGCUCAGUGGUACAGCAGCUGCCUAGCAGGCCUGAGGCCCUGGGUUCCAACUCCAGCACCACAA